UCUGGUUGAUCCUGGCGGAGGUUACUGCUAUCGAGGUUCGACUAAGCCAUGCGAGUCGAAUGUAGCAAUACAUGGCGUACUGCUCAGUAACACGUGGACAACCUACCCUUAGGUCGGGGAUAAACCCGGGAAACUGGGUAUAAUACCCGAUAGUCCUCGGAUGCUGGAAUGCACCGAGGUCUAAAGCUCCGGCGCCUAAGGAUGGGUCUGCGGCCUAUCAGGUAGUAGUGGGUGUAGCGUACCUACUAGCCUACGACGGGUACGGGUUGUGAGAGCAAGAGCCUGGAGAUGGAUUCUGAGACACGAAUCCAGGCCCUACGGGGUGCAGCAGGCGCGAAAACUUUACAAUGCUGGAAACAGCGAUAAGGGGACCUUGAGUGCCAGGUUACAAAUCUGGCUGUCGUGAUGCCUAAAAAGCAUUGCAUAGCAAGGGCCGGGCAAGACCGGUGCCAGCCGCCGCGGUAACACCGGCGGCUCGAGUGGUAACCGCUAUUAUUGGGUCUAAAGGGUCUGUGGCCGGCCGGAUAAGUCUUUUGGGAAAUCUGGCAGCUUAACUGUCAGGCUUUCAGAGGAUACUGUCUGGCUCGAGGCCGGGAGAGGUGAGAGGUACUUCAGGGGUAGGGGUGAAAUCUUGUAAUCCUUGAAGGACCACCAGUGGCGAAGGCGUCUCACCAGAACGGACCUGACGGCGAGGGACAAUCACUAGUGGA
This 710-nucleotide ribosomal RNA is filed under the name uncultured Methanosaeta sp. RNAcentral's name for it is "bacterial SSU rRNA". It matches the Rfam family "Archaeal small subunit ribosomal RNA", at positions 1 to 718 of the family's 1478-position model. The record is from RNAcentral. Lineage: Archaea; Methanobacteriati; Methanobacteriota; Methanomicrobia; Methanotrichales; Methanotrichaceae.